UACGGGGGGAGCAAGCGUUGUUCGGAUUUACUGGGCGUAAAGGGCGCGUAGGCGGUUGUGACAAGUCACUUGUGAAAUCUCCGGGCUUAACUCGGAACGGUCAAGUGAUACUGUCGGACUAGAGUACAGAAGGGGCAACUGGAAUUCUCGGUGUAGCGGUGAAAUGCGUAGAGAUCGGGAGGAAUACCUGUGGCGAAGGCGGCCUACUGGGCCGGACCUGGACGCUGAGACGCGAAGGCGUGGGGAGCGAACGGGG
RNAcentral lists this ribosomal RNA (256 nucleotides) under uncultured bacterium. RNAcentral describes it as "partial 16S ribosomal RNA". It matches the Rfam family "Bacterial small subunit ribosomal RNA", at positions 524 to 777 of the family's 1533-position model. The record is from RNAcentral.